GACGAACGCUGGCGGCGUGCUUAACACAUGCAAGUCGAACGGAAAGGCCCUGCUUUUGUGGGGUGCUCGAGUGGCGAACGGGUGAGUAACACGUGAGUAACCUGCCCUUGACUUUGGGAUAACUUCAGGAAACUGGGGCUAAUACCGGAUAGGAGCUCCUGCUGCAUGGUGGGGGUUGGAAAGUUUCGGCGGUUGGGGAUGGACUCGCGGCUUAUCAGCUUGUUGGUGGGGUAGUGGCUUACCAAGGCUUUGACGGGUAGCCGGCCUGAGAGGGUGACCGGCCACCUUGGGACUGAGAUACCGCCCAGCCUCCUACGGGAGGGAGCCGUGGGGGAUUUUGCCCCAUGGGCCGAAGCCUGAUGCAGCAACGCCGCGUGCGGGAAGACGGCCUUCCGGUUGGAAACCGCUUUCGCCUGUGACGAAGCGUGAGUGACGGUAAUGGGUAAAGAAGCACCGGCUAACUACGUG
This 468-nucleotide ribosomal RNA is filed under the name uncultured bacterium. RNAcentral's name for it is "partial 16S ribosomal RNA". It matches the Rfam family "Bacterial small subunit ribosomal RNA", at positions 28 to 507 of the family's 1533-position model. The record is from RNAcentral.